This 253-nucleotide ribosomal RNA is filed under the name uncultured bacterium. Its description in RNAcentral is "partial 16S ribosomal RNA". It matches the Rfam family "Bacterial small subunit ribosomal RNA", at positions 524 to 776 of the family's 1533-position model. The record is from RNAcentral.
UACGUAGGGUGCAAGCGUUAAUCGGAAUUACUGGGCGUAAAGCGUGCGCAGGCGGCUUCGCAAGACAGAUGUGAAAUCCCCGGGCUUAACCUGGGAACUGCAUUUGUGACUGUAGAGCUGGAGUACGGUAGAGGGGGAUGGAAUUCCGCGUGUAGCAGUGAAAUGCGUAGAUAUGCGGAGGAACACCGAUGGCGAAGGCAAUCCCCUGGACCUGUACUGACGCUCAUGCACGAAAGCGUGGGGAGCAAACAGG